RNAcentral lists this ribosomal RNA (842 nucleotides) under Kocuria rosea. RNAcentral describes it as "bacterial SSU rRNA". It matches the Rfam family "Bacterial small subunit ribosomal RNA", at positions 67 to 918 of the family's 1533-position model. Lineage: Bacteria; Bacillati; Actinomycetota; Actinomycetes; Micrococcales; Micrococcaceae. The record is from RNAcentral.
CGAUGAUGCCCAGCUUGCUGGGCGGAUUAGUGGCGAACGGGUGAGUAAUACGUGAGUAACCUGCCCUYGACUCUGGGAUAAGCCUGGGAAACUGGGUCUAAUACUGGAUACUACCUCUUACCGCAUGGUGGGUGGUGGAAAGGGUUUUACUGGUUUUGGAUGGGCUCACGGCCUAUCAGCUUGUUGGUGGGGUAAUGGCUCACCAAGGCGACGACGGGUAGCCGGCCUGAGAGGGUGACCGGCCACACUGGGACUGAGACACGGCCCAGACUCCUACGGGAGGCAGCAGUGGGGAAUAUUGCACAAUGGGCGGAAGCCUGAUGCAGCGACGCCGCGUGAGGGAUGACGGCCUUCGGGUUGUAAACCUCUUUCAGUAGGGAAGAAGCGAGAGUGACGGUACCUGCAGAAGAAGCGCCGGCUAACUACGUGCCAGCAGCCGCGGUAAUACGUAGGGCGCAAGCGUUGUCCGGAAUUAUUGGGCGUAAAGAGCUCGUAGGCGGUUUGUCGCGUCUGCUGUGAAAGCCCGGGGCUCAACCCCGGGUCUGCAGUGGGUACGGGCAGACUAGAGUGCAGUAGGGGAGACUGGAAUUCCUGGUGUAGCGGUGAAAUGCGCAGAUAUCAGGAGGAACACCGAUGGCGAAGGCAGGUCUCUGGGCUGUUACUGACGCUGAGGAGCGAAAGCAUGGGGAGCGAACAGGAUUAGAUACCCUGGUAGUCCAUGCCGUAAACGUUGGGCACUAGGUGUGGGGGACAUUCCACGUUUUCCGCGCCGUAGCUAACGCAUUAAGUGCCCCGCCUGGGGAGUACGGCCGCAAGGCUAAAACUCAAAGGAAUUGACGGGG